This 516-nucleotide long non-coding RNA is filed under the name Numida meleagris (helmeted guineafowl). RNAcentral describes it as "lncRNA (ENSNMEG00000001659.1)". Lineage: Eukaryota; Metazoa; Chordata; Aves; Galliformes; Numididae. The record is from RNAcentral.
GGAACACCUUCUCAGAUGAUACAAAUUGACCUAGCUCAAGUUUGCACUGUAACAGCAAAAAGGAGUGAGGGGGAGGGAGAGGGAAGAAAAAGAAGCUGAUAGGGCUAGCAGGAAUGUCAGAUGAAAGGCAGAGACUGCUGUUGGUUUUGCUCACUCAGUUAAGGCAAAGGUGGUUCAUCCAGCAGUGGUGCACCCUGCAGCUCUGCUCACCCAGCAGAGUGAUGGGCAGUGGUGGUGCUGAGUGCAAUAAACCCCAAGGGAACUGGAUACUAAAGUGCUGGAGGUGAGUAGACAUAUUGCUGUUAGACAAAUGAGUAAGAAAUGUCAGUUUACUCAUGAAUUUCUGAGAUGAGUACUUCUAAAAUAACACACAUUAUGAAUAUGUUGUCCAUGCCUGGAAUUUCAUUUGCCUCCAGGUGUUCUCGAUUCUAAUUUACCUGUACAAAUUAAUAAUAAUGCUUUCACUGUACCAUAAUCUAAUGUAUCUCAUUCUGCCACAUUAUCCAUGUACCUCUG